GCGAUGGAGGGACGGAGAAGGCUAGGCCAGCACGGCGUUGGUUGUCCGUGUUUAAGGUUGUAGGCUGGUUUCUUAGGUAAAUCCGGGAGAUCAAGGCCGAGAGCUGAUGACGAGCGUUCUUUUAGAAUGCGAAGUGGUUGAUGCCAUGCUUCCAGGAAAAGCUUCUAAGCUUCAGGUAACUAGGAACCGUACCCCAAACCGACACAGGUGGUUAGGUAGAGAAUACCAAGGCGCUUGAGAGAACUCGGGUGAAGGAACUAGGCAAAAUGGCACCGUAACUUCGGGAGAAGGUGCGCCGGUGAGGGUGAAGUAUUUACUACGUAAGCCCAUGCCGGUCGAAGAUACCAGGCCGCUGCGACUGUUUAUUAAAAACACAGCACUCUGCAAACACGAAAGUGGACGUAUAGGGUGUGACGCCUGCCCGGUGCCGGAAGGUUAAUUGAUGGGGUUAGCGCAAGCGAAGCUCUUGAUCGAAGCCCCGGUAAACGGCGGCCGUAACUAUAACGGUCCUAAGGUAGCGAAAUUCCUUGUCGGGUAAGUUCCGACCUGCACGAAUGGCGUAACGAUGGCGGCGCUGUCUCCACCCGAGACUCAGUGAAAUUGAAAUCGCUGUGAAGAUGCAGUGUAUCCGCGGCUAGACGGAAAGACCCCGUGAACCUUUACUAUAGCUUUGCACUGGACUUUGAGCUUGCUUGUGUAGGAUAGGUGGGAGGCUUUGAAGUGGGGACGCCAGUUCUCAUGGAGCCAUCCUUGAAAUACCACCCUGGCAACCUUGAGGUUCUAACUCUGGUCCGUAUCCGGAUCGAGGACAGUGUAUGGUGGGUAGUUUGACUGGGGCGGUCUCCUCCCAAAGAGUAACGGAGGAGUACGAAGGUGCGCUCAGACCGGUCGGAAAUCGGUCGUAGAGUAUAAAGGCAAAAGCGCGCUUGACUGCGAGACAGACACGUCGAGCAGGUACGAAAGUAGGUCUUAGUGAUCCGGUGGUUCUGUAUGGAAGGGCCAUCGCUCAACGGAUAAAAGGUACUCCGGGGAUAACAGGCUGAUACCGCCCAAGAGUUCAUAUCGACGGCGGUGUUUGGCACCUCGAUGUCGGCUCAUCACAUCCUGGGGCUGAAGCCGGUCCCAAGGGUAUGGCUGUUCGCCAUUUAAAGUGGUACGCGAGCUGGGUUUAGAACGUCGUGAGACAGUUCGGUCCCUAUCUGCCGUGGACGUUUGAGAUUUGAGAGGGGCUGACCUUAGUACGAGAGGACCGGGUUGGACGAACCUCUGGUGUUCCGGUUGUCACGCCAGUGGCAUUGCCGGGUAGCUAUGUUCGGAAAAGAUAACCGCUGAAAGCAUCUAAGCGGGAAACUUGCCUCAAGAUGAGAUCUCACUGGGAACUUGAUUCCCCUAAAGGGCCGUCGAAGACUACGACGUUGAUAGGCAGGGUGUGUAAGCGCUGUGAGGCGUUGAGCUAACCUGUACUAAUUGCCCGUGAGGCUUGACCAU
RNAcentral lists this ribosomal RNA (1488 nucleotides) under marine metagenome. Its description in RNAcentral is "bacterial LSU rRNA". It matches the Rfam family "Bacterial large subunit ribosomal RNA", at positions 1461 to 2925 of the family's 2925-position model. The record is from RNAcentral.